This is an RNA transcript of Cornus florida, 1985 nucleotides long. RefSeq lists it as uncharacterized. The record is from RefSeq and is a predicted model, not a curated record. Lineage: Eukaryota; Viridiplantae; Streptophyta; Magnoliopsida; Cornales; Cornaceae. The transcript is spliced from 8 exons.
GCGAGCACAAAUCAACUUUGCCUCUGCUGCCGGCUUUCUAUUUCACAGAUCAACUUUGUCUUUGCCGCUGCCUUUUCUUAAACUAAAAUUGUUGUGUAGGAGGGAGGUCUACCCAUUCAUGAAUUCGAAAGAGUGUUAAUUUUAAUAUUUAAAUCUCUAACACAAAUCUAAUAUUGUAAGAAAUCUUUUGUUUAAAAAUUAAAAAAAAUAAAUUAUAUAAGAGUAAGAAGGGAGAGCUAUAUAUAUACAUAUAAUACACACAUACACAAUACUAUUAAAAUUGACAAUUAUAUAGAGAGAGAAAAGAGUUGAGAGUGAUGGGGUGGAGAGGGAUUUUGGGUUUUGAGUAUGGAGUAGUUCAGGCACCACUGGGACCUGAUAUUUCAGCUCCAGAGCUUGUAGCUGCUGUUGCUAACGCUGGUGGACUAGGUCUACUCAGAGCCCCUGACUGGGAAUCACCAGAUCAUUUGAGGGAUCUGAUACGGAAAACCCAGGCCUUAACGGACAAACCAUUUGGAGUUGGUGUUGUUUUGGCAUUUCCCCAUGAGGAAAAUGUAAAGGCUAUACUGGAUGAAAAGGUCUCUGUAUUGCAGCUUUAUUGGGGAGAAUGUCCAAAGGAACUUGUCCUCAAAGCUCAUCAAGCAGGGGUCAAGGUUGUUCCUCAAGUUGGGAGCUUUGAAGAAGCAAGAAAAGCUGUUGACGUGGGUGUAGAUGCAAUAAUCGUCCAAGGACUGGAAGCAGGAGGACAUGUAAUUGGUCAGGAUGGAUUAAUUACACUGUUGCCCAGAGUGGUAGAUCUUGUUGCUGGUCGAGAUAUACCCAUAAUUGCUGCUGGGGGCAUUGUGGAUGAGCGUGGUUAUGUUGCUGCUUUGGCCCUUGGUGCCCAGGGUGUCUGCCUAGGCACUAGGUUUCUCGCUACCAAUGAAAGCUAUGCUCACCCAACAUACAAGCAGAAGUUAAUUGAACUUGACAAGACUGAGUACACAAAUUUAUAUGGCCGUGCAAGGUGGCCUGAUGCACCACAACGUGCCCUGACUACACCUUUCUUCAUGGAAUGGAGAAGUCUUCCAAUUCAUGAAAAUGAAACUGAUCAGCCGGUCAUUGGCCAUUCAAACAUACAUGGGAUGGAAAAAGAUAUCCGUCGUUUUGCUGGUACUGUACCAAAUGUGACAACAACAGGUGACAUUGAGAGUAUGGCAAUGUAUGCAGGUCAAGGUGUAUGCCUCAUCAAGGAAAUUCUACCCGCGGCUGAAGUGGUAAAGAGGCUUGUUGAAGGGGCUCAACUGCUAAUUCGCCAACAAUUUAAGUAAUCAAAUUUAAGGGAGAGCCAGUUCUAAGGUAUCUCUUGGAUUGUGGUAGGUUUGUAGUUACGGUCGAAGAUGUUGGAAGAUAAUCACAAAGUUAUACCAUGUUAAAGAGAUGGAAGGAUAUGGAAUGCUUUACUGGAGUUCUUUGUCCUUGUAAGCUUCUCGUUCUCCUCUCUUAUCAUGGCAAUAUCAAGUUGUUUUGCUAUUCAGAAAUUUGUGUAACGCGUCCUUAACCUUGUUUUGUGAGGGAUCACUUGUCAAAUGAUGAAUAAAGGAAAUGCUUCCAACUGGAAUUACCAAGAAAAAAUGUAUGUAAUUACCAGAAAAUAAUGAAUAAAAGGGACUACUGUUAGGUAUGUUUUAGAGCAAGAUAAGGCAUCCUUUAUUCGGUUGAUUGGUGUGAGUGUUCUUCAAAGUGCUGCAUCGUCUUUCAUUGCACCGUCUUUAAGGUACUCGUCAGUUUUAGACUUAGACUUGAUCGUGCUGAGCAGAGACUACUACUCACUCUUCCGACGAUGUAGGACUUCUUUCUAUAGUUUCAUUUCAGAUGUUUUUUUAAGUAUUUAUACUUCAGUUUGGAUUUUAGUAUUAGGGGUCCAUGAAUGGAUUCCCGAGUUGUUUAACUAUUGGAGGUUUUGGAAUUUUAAGUAUUUAAUUUUAAGGAUUCUCUUUUAGAUU